Molecule: transfer RNA, 73 nt
Filed under: Candidatus Nitrosotenuis cloacae
Lineage: Archaea; Thermoproteati; Nitrososphaerota
Also listed under: 1 other name
Description: tRNA-Gln (CTG) (tRNA-Gln-CTG-1-1)
Rfam family: tRNA
About the family: Transfer RNA (tRNA) molecules are approximately 80 nucleotides in length. Their secondary structure includes four short double-helical elements and three loops (D, anti-codon, and T loops).
Source: RNAcentral
AGCCCGAUAGUCUAGCGGUCAAGGAUUCGGCGCUCUGGACGCCGAGACGGCAGUUCGAAUCUGCCUCGGGCUA